This 274-nucleotide ribosomal RNA is filed under the name uncultured Glomus. Its description in RNAcentral is "partial 18S ribosomal RNA". It matches the Rfam family "Eukaryotic small subunit ribosomal RNA", at positions 548 to 829 of the family's 1831-position model. Lineage: Eukaryota; Fungi; Glomeromycota; Glomeromycetes; Glomerales; Glomeraceae. The record is from RNAcentral.
UUGGAGGCAAGUCUGGUGCCAGCAGCCGCGGUAAUUCCAGCUCCAAUAGCGUAUAUUAAAGUUGUUGCAGUUAAAAAGCUCGUAGUUGAAUUUCGGGGUUAGUAGGUUGGUCAUGCCUCUGGUAUGUACUGGUCUCACUGAUUCCUCCUUCCUUAUGAACCGUAAUGCCAUUAAUUUGGUGUUGCGGGGAAUUUGGACUGUUACUUUGAAAAAAUUGAGUGUUUAAAGCAAGCUAACGCUUGAAUACAUUAGCAUGGAAUAAUGAAACAGGACG